RNAcentral lists this ribosomal RNA (408 nucleotides) under uncultured bacterium. RNAcentral's name for it is "partial 16S ribosomal RNA". It matches the Rfam family "Bacterial small subunit ribosomal RNA", at positions 28 to 526 of the family's 1533-position model. The record is from RNAcentral.
GACGAACGCUGGCGGCGUGCUUAACACAUGCAAGUCGAACGAAGUGGCGAACGGGUGAGUAAUACGUGGGUAACCUGCCCUCCUUUUUGGGAUAAGCCUUGGUAACGGGGUCUAAUACCGAAUAAAGGGGGAUGGGCUCGCGGCCUAUCAGUGGGUUGGUGGGGUGAUGGCCUACCAAGGCGGUGACGGGUAGCCAGCCUGAGAGGGGAACCGGCCACAUUGGGACGGAGAAGCGGCCCAGAGGAGUACGGGGGGCGGCAGUGGGGGCUAUGGGCCAAUGGGCGAAAGCCUGAUGCAGCGACGGCGCAGAAGGGAUGAGGGCUGUCGGGUUGUAAAAGUCGUUCGGUAUCGAACGGGUAGGUGGAGAAGAAGCGCCGGCUAACUACGUGCCAGCAGCCGCGGUAAUAC